UUUCUACUUUCUAGUUUCCAUAAGGAAAAUAAAAAUCGAUGGAACCGUCUCUUGAGCAUGUGAUGCUCGUAUCUUUCCCAGGCCAAGGGCACAUAAACCCUCUACUUCGUCUCGGAAAGCUCAUAGCUUCGAAAGGCCUACUUGUCACCUUUGUCACCACAGAGCAGCCAUGGGGAGAGAAGAUGCGUCAAGCCAACAAGAUUCAAGACGGCGUGCUCAAACCGGUCGGUUUAGGUUUCCUCCGGUUCGAGUUCUUCAACGAUGGGUUAGCCGACGAUGACGAAAAAAGAACCAACUUCCAAGCCUUCCGACCACACCUUGAACUUGUCGGAAAACGGGAGAUCAAGAACCUCAUCAGGAGAUACGAGCAAGAGGAAAAGCAACCUGUGAGGUGUCUUAUAAACAACGCUUUUGUGCCGUGGGUGUGUGACGUGGCUGAUGAGCUUCAUAUCCCUUCGGCUGUUCUAUGGGUCCAGUCUUGCGCUUGUCUCACCGCUUAUUAUUAUUACCACCACCGGCUAGUUAAGUUCCCGACCAAAACUGAGCCGGAGAUUAACGUUGAAAUCCCAAGCUUACCUUUGUUGAAGCAUGGCGAGAUCCCAAGCUUCCUUCACCCUUCAUCUCCCUUUGCAGCUUAUGGAGAAGUCAUUUUAGACCAGCUCAAGCGACUUGUAAGCCACAAGCCUCUCUUUGUUUUCAUAGACACUUUUCAAGAACUCGAAAAAGAGAUCGUCGACCACAUGUCUAACCUCUGUCCUCAAGUCAAGUUUAGCCCUCUCGGUCCUCUCUUCAAGAUGGCUCAAACUAUAAGCUCUGACGUUAAGGGAGACAUCUCCGCGCCAGCGAGUGACUGCAUGGAGUGGCUCGACUCGAGAGAACCAUCCUCAGUCGUUUAUAUCUCCUUUGGCACUAUAGUCCACUUGAAGCAAGAGCAGUUCGAGGAGAUCGCUCAUGGUGUUUUGAGCUCUGGUUUGUCCUUCUUAUGGGUGGUCCGGCCUCCUAUGGAAGGUUCAAGUGUGAAACCAUAUGUAUUGCCUCGUGAGCUUGAAGAGAAAGGGAAAAUCGUUGAAUGGUGUUCACAAGAGAGAGUGUUGGCUCAUCCUGCGGUUGCUUGCUUCUUAAGUCACUGCGGAUGGAACUCGACAAUGGAGGCUUUGUCUUCGGGAGUUCCCAUGGUCUGUUUUCCGAUGUGGGGAGAUCAGGUGACUGAUGCUGUGUACUUGGUUGAUGUUUUCAAGACAGGAGUGAGACUUGGCCGCGGAGCGGCUGAGGAGAAGAUUGUUCCGAGGGAGGUUGUGUCGGAGAAGUUGCUUGAGGCCACCGUUGGGAAAAAGGCGGUGGAGAUUAGAGAAAGCGCACGGAGGUGGAAGGAAGAAGCGGAGGCAGCCGUGGCGUUCGGUGGAUCAUCGGAUAGGAAGUUUCAAGAGUUUGUGGACGAGUUGAUUACGAAAUCUGUUGCGAGAAAAGACAACGGAGAAUACUCAUGAUGAUGUCACGUAAUAGUCCAAAUUGUUGAUGUAACUCCGAAACCUAGACACCACUACGGUAUGUCAGUAUUCAUAUUAUCUUUUUUCUUUUUCCUUUUGGGUAAAUAACACAUCAAAUCCCAUCUCAUGCUCUAGUGAUGUCGAUCUAUCAAUUUUUACAUUCUAUUUCAUCACUUCGAGCCACAAGCACUUAGAUUUUUAAAACCAUUUUGAUGCAUUAAACUAAUGUCGCCAUAUGGCUUUAAGGUCAUUUAGUAUUGGGCAAUUAUCAAUAAUAGUACAUUUUGAGUUUUUGUCUCAAAAUAGCAUUAGAAGGAGAAAGUCACAAAAAUGACAUUCAUUUAAAGAGUAAAAUAUCUCUAAUACCAUUAGUUUAGAAUUAAAUAAACAAAAAAAAAUAAAAUAAAAAAUAAAAUAAAAAAAAUGGAAAAAAAUAAAACUUUUUUGUAUAGUUUCAGAUUAUAUGUUUUCAGAUUCGAAAUUUUUUAUAAUUUUUUUUGAAAUUAUUUUUUUCGAAUUUUAUUUUUAUUUUUUUUUCAAAUUUUCUUUUUAUAAUUCAAAAAUAAUUUUUGAAACUGUUUUUAAAAUUUAUAUUUUUAAUUUUUUAGUAUUUAUUUUUUAUUUUAUAAAAUUUUAAACCCUAAUUCCAAAACCCACUCCUUAACUCUAAACCCUAAGGUUUGGAUUAAUUAACCCAAAGGGUAUAAGUGUAUAUUUAUUUACCUCUUUAAUGAAAUAUAUUUUUGUGACUUUGAGCUUUGAUUGCUAGUUUAGGAACAAAAACUUGGUUUGAUGCUAUCCUAGUAUUUUUCUCUAUAAAAUAACUUCUUAUUCAUUAAUCUUUGUUUUUUUACUAAUCAAAAAUUAUGUCAUAAAAAAACUUUUGGAAACUUAUAAUAAAAUUUAUAGAAUCAACACAAUCUCAAUAAUCUUCUAAGAUUAUACAAUAUCAAGACUUUGAUAUUCAAACUAUUUAAAAUAAAAAGAUUAUUGCCAGCUUGUCUCAGACGGAGACGUAUGCAAAGCUUCUAUUUAAUCCGAAAAUUGAGAUAGAUGGAGAGACGAACAUAAGAAUAUAUAUAGCAGAAAAGAUUAGAUAGGAAUUAUCGAAAUUGAAGGUUUUAAAGAACAAGGAUAGGUUUCAACUUGUCUGACAAUAAACUUUACGUGUAACUAUAGUUAAUCCGAAAAUUGAAAAAAGAAAACAAAAAAGACCGAUAAAUUACUAUAGGGUUAAAAUCGUCCAAUAAAUAUCGAUAAUAACGGAGAAGUAAGUCGAUGGGUAUUGAGCUAAAUAGGGUAAAGUGCUAAUGUGUGGAGUGCAAUUUCUCAAAAUAAAAUCAGUUUCUACUUUCUAGUUUCCAUAAGGAAAAUAAAAAUCGAUGGAACCGUCUCUUGAGCAUGUGAUGCUCGUAUCUUUCCCAGGCCAAGGGCACAUAAACCCUCUACUUCGUCUCGGAAAGCUCAUAGCUUCGAAAGGCCUACUGGUCACCUUUGUCACCACAGAGCAGCCAUGGGGAGAGAAGAUGCGUCAAGCCAACAAGAUUCAAGACGGCGUGCUCAAACCGGUCGGUUUAGGUUUCCUCCGGUUCGAGUUCUUCAACGAUGGGUUAGCCGACGAUGACGAAAAAAGAACCAACU
This 3128-nucleotide long non-coding RNA is filed under the name Brassica napus (rape). Its description in RNAcentral is "long non-coding RNA (BNAP_LNC000395)". The record is from RNAcentral. Lineage: Eukaryota; Viridiplantae; Streptophyta; Magnoliopsida; Brassicales; Brassicaceae.